AUUGAACGCUGGCGGCAGGCCUAACACAUGCAAGUCGAGCGGAUGAAGGGAGCUUGCUCCUGGAUUCAGCGGCGGACGGGUGAGUAAUGCCUAGGAAUCUGCCUGGUAGUGGGGGAUAACGUCCGGAAACGGGCGCUAAUACCGCAUACGUCCUGAGGGAGAAAGUGGGGGAUCUUCGGACCUCACGCUAUCAGAUGAGCCUAGGUCGGAUUAGCUAGUUGGUGGGGUAAAGGCCUACCAAGGCGACGAUCCGUAACUGGUCUGAGAGGAUGAUCAGUCACACUGGAACUGAGACGCGGUCCAGACUCCUACGGGAGGCAGCAGUGGGGAAUAUUGGACAAUGGGCGAAAGCCUGAUCCAGCCAUGCCGCGUGUGUGAAGAAGGUCUUCGGAUUGUAAAGCACUUUAAGUUGGGAGGAAGGGCAGUAAGUUAAUACCUCGCUGUUUUGACGUUACCAACAGAAUAAGCACCGGCUAACUUCGUG
This 484-nucleotide ribosomal RNA is filed under the name uncultured bacterium. RNAcentral's name for it is "partial 16S ribosomal RNA". It matches the Rfam family "Bacterial small subunit ribosomal RNA", at positions 30 to 507 of the family's 1533-position model. The record is from RNAcentral.